RNAcentral lists this ribosomal RNA (460 nucleotides) under uncultured bacterium. RNAcentral describes it as "partial 16S ribosomal RNA". It matches the Rfam family "Bacterial small subunit ribosomal RNA", at positions 338 to 795 of the family's 1533-position model. The record is from RNAcentral.
CCUACGGGGGGCAGCAGUGAGGAAUAUUGGUCAAUGGGCUUACGCCUGAACCAGCCAAGUCGCGUGAGGGAAGACUGCCCUAUGGGUUGUAAACCUCUUUUGUCAGGGAGCAAUUGGCGCUACGUGUAGCGUUAUCGAGAGUACCUGAAGAAAAAGCAUCGGCUAACUCCGUGCCAGCAGCCGCGGUAAUACGGAGGAUGCGAGCGUUAUCCGGAUUUAUUGGGUUUAAAGGGUGCGUAGGCGGAAUGCCAAGUCAGCGGUAAAAUCGCGGGGCUCAACCUCGCUCCGACGUUGAAACUGGCGGUCUUGAGUGGGCGAGAAGUAUGCGGAAUGCGUGGUGUAGCGGUGAAAUGCAUAGAUAUCACGCAGAACUCCGAUUGCGAAGGCAGCAUACCGGCGCCCAACUGACGCUGAAGCACGAAAGCGUGGGUAUCGAACAGGAUUAGAUACCCGUGUAGUC